This 377-nucleotide ribosomal RNA is filed under the name uncultured cyanobacterium. Its description in RNAcentral is "bacterial SSU rRNA". It matches the Rfam family "Bacterial small subunit ribosomal RNA", at positions 376 to 770 of the family's 1533-position model. The record is from RNAcentral. Lineage: Bacteria; Bacillati; Cyanobacteriota.
CGCAAGCCUGACGGAGCAAGACCGCGUGCGGGAUGACGGCCUAAUGGUUGUAAACCGCUUUUCUCUGGGAAGAUGAUGACGGUACCAGAGGAAUCAGCCUCGGCUAACUCCGUGCCAGCAGCCGCGGUAAUACGGAGGAGGCAAGCGUUAUCCGGAAUUAUUGGGCGUAAAGCGUCCGUAGGUGGUUAUUCAAGUCUGCUGUCAAAGCGUGGGGCUUAACUCCAUAGAGGCAGUGGAAACUGGAUGACUUGAGUGCGGUAGGGGUCGAGGGAAUUCCCAGUGUAGCGGUGAAAUGCGUAGAUAUUGGGAAGAACACCAGUGGCGAAAGCGCUCGACUGGGCCUGCACUGACACUGAGGGACGAAAGCUAGGGGAGCG